RNAcentral lists this long non-coding RNA (7880 nucleotides) under Sus scrofa (pig). RNAcentral's name for it is "lncRNA (ENSSSCG00060036967.1)". Lineage: Eukaryota; Metazoa; Chordata; Mammalia; Artiodactyla; Suidae. The record is from RNAcentral.
UUUUUUUUUUUUUUUUUUUGUCUUUUUCAGGACUGCACUUGUGGCAUAUGGGGAUUCCCAGGCUAGGGGUCCAAUCGGAGCUGGAGCUGCUGGCUUACACCACAGCCACAGCAACAUGGGAUCCGAGCCAUGUCUGCAACCUACACCACAGCUCACGGCAACGCCGGAUCCUUAACCCACUGAGGGUGAGGCCAGGGAUUGAACCCACAACCUCAUGGUUCCUAGUCAGAUUCGUUGACUACUGUGCCACAACGGGAACUCCUGUUUUCUUUUUUUUUGACCAAGGAAAGAAUGCAUUACACAUUCUUCUUUUUUUUUUUUUAUGCAUUACACAUUGUUCUGCACCUCAAUUUUUUUUCACUCAACACUGUAUCAAGGCAUUUGUUCCAGAUCAUCACAGUCUUCCACUGCUCUGUACUAGUCCAGUGCAAGCAGGUCCCACCAUUCAUGUCAGUCCUAACUUGUCGACAUCUUGUCUGUUCCCAGUUGUCUGUGGCCAUGAAAGUUUCUCUCUAUGGAUCUUUAUACAUUUACAGGGGCCUAGAUUCCUUGAAGAGUAAUUUCUGAGGCAAAGGGAAUAUGUGCUUUGCAUUUUGAUAGAUAUCAUCCAAUAGUCCUCUAAAAAAUUUUACCAGGUUGGACCAAAAGCCACUUUUAGGUCUUUGCCCAUCUAAAGGAUAAAAAAUAGUAUCUCACUGUAAUUUACGUUUUUAAUUAUGAGAGAUGUUAGCAUCUUUUUCCUGUUUCCAAAUCAUUGUAUUUCUUUUUCCCUUACCUCUCUUCAACAGUGUUUAAGGAGCCCUUGUACAGCUACAUAGGCAAAGUAUCUGGGACCUGUGGAAUUUUCAAGAGCCUGUAAAAAAAGUUUGAGACCUGGGGUGGGGGUGGGGGAUGUAUUGGCUUGCAAAUAUUUUUAAAAGACUAAAAAACUGAACCCAAAAUGGUAUAAUGUAAUCUCAACCAAACAUAAUCUUACGGCAAGCUCAUUAACUGGAAACUGGAAUUCACGAACAUUUCAUUACAUUUUAAAGCAAUCUGUUGGUUUAGAUGUUCUCAUUUCAAAAAAAUCCCAAGAAUGCAUGAUGCUUUUCAAGAAAUUCAAGUCCAUUUUCAUUUAAACGCAUUAACUGUAGUUGAAUAAUUUCACAAUCAUAAUUAAUUGAAAACGCUUUUUAAAAAUUUACCAUAACGUGGGAGUUCCCUGGUGACUGGUUCAGUGGUUAAAGGAUCCAGCGUUGUCACUGCUGUGGUCAGGUCACUGCUGAGGGGCAGAUUCAAUCCCUGGCCUGCCCUGGAACUUCCGCAUGCCGCAGGUGCAGCCAAAAAAAAUAAAGAAUCAUAAAAUGACAUUCAAUGUAGAAUUAGAGUGCAUUUUAAUAUGUUUCAUGUGAUUUGGACGGGGCCUCCCAAAUUAAGUGCAUCAAGGGCCAAAAGUGGUUUUAUUUAAAAGGCCUGUAAACCUCCGAACCAGACAGACAAGGUCUCAGUCUCAGGAAAUUUCUAAUCAAAGAACACGCUGACCUUCUCAGCAAAAGUAGGAACGAGUAAAGUGGAUCAGAUCUGAGUCUGGAGCUCGCUGAGGACCCCUGGCUUCUCUCCCAACCCCCUGACUGUUACAGAGAAAAAACUCUCUCCUGUGUCACACCCAUCCCCAGCCUGGUGACUCAGCGCUGGACAUGGGGAUUUUGGAAAGCUCAGUGGGGUGAUGGAGCGGGGAAAGACGGGGUAGAGGUGAUGCUCUCUCUGCUCUCAGGACCAGCCUGGGGUGGGGGUAGGGAGCAGCAGGACAGACAUAGGGAGGGAAAGAGACAAAUUGUCCCCAGAUGACAUUUUGAGACAGCAGAACAAAAUGUGUUUGGCUCUUCCCUACCCUCUCCCUCUUUUAAAGAGAAAUAGGACUCAGCCCUUGAAAGGGACCAUCUGGGCGUCUAAGUCACAGGUGCGAAGGUUUUAGGACUGGGAGGUGAGCAAUUCAGCACCUCCCCCCUCCUCCCCGUCUGCCUCCCCUCCCCAUCCAGCGGAGGAAAGGCAGGGAGGACCUGGGGGAAGCAGCGCUGGAAUCUCCUGCGUGCCCGCGCGUGCCCGUUCCCCUAGUACUGUCUCUAUUCCCAGCCACUGGGGUGGGAUUUGGCACAAUGACACGCCAUAAAGUCCAAUCUAUCGAACCCAAUUGAAUUGAAAGGCACGGUGGAGUCAGAUGAGGGGUCUGAUUUCCUCCCCCUCAUGUUUGUUCUCAGCCCGCUGUGUGGCCUUGAGCAACGGCUGCCGCCUCUGAGCUGUUUCCGCAUUUGUACAGAGAGCACCAGAAAACUUGGUCUGUGGGGACAUUAUGCAGACCCAGUGAACUGAAAUCGGCAAGGCAUUUAGCUCUGGGCCGGGCCUUUUUAAUUCUUACCCUUUGGCUGCAGUGGUGGGAAAGCAAAUGUUUGCCAGGUAGGGGGAGGUGGGUGGAGCUGAUGGUGGCCCCUCGCCAGCCAGAGAGGACUUUGAGCUUGCCCCGGAGUGCCAGGAGGGAGCCACUGAAGGUUCUGCAGCGAGGGAGGGGGCCAGAUCCUGGGAGGGGCCGGGAUCCUCGGCCCUCACCCAGAUCCAAAACCCCGCCUCUGGUGUUCUCUCUUCCUCCAAUGCACCCCCUCCCACAGCCCAGGGCCACAGCUCUGCUCCCACCAAGACCGAGUCUGGGAGAACAGCAGAGUGAGCCCCAGGACAAAGCCUAACUAAGGCUAUGCCUGAGCCCAGGCUUGAACCCCUACUCUGAGCCCCCCUCACUGGGUGUUUUGGAUUCCUCUGGGCCUCAGCCUUCUCCCUGCAAAGUGAGGCGACAACAGCGACCUCACGGGGUGGUGGGGAUGGUUAGUUGAGAUAAUAUGUAAAAGCACCUGGCGGCAUGCCUGCUGUACAGGUGGAGUUCAGUGUACGGUGCCAUUAACUGAGAAAGCGGACAGGGGAUCCAAAGGGAGAGAAUGAGGAUCAGAGACGGGGAAGAAUGACACACGGGCCCUUUGCCUCUCUGGAUGGUCCACCUGCAGCCAAGGAAAAAGCCCUUUGGGAGGAGGGGGUGAUUGGGGGGGCAGCUAUUGGGUAAGAGAGGAGGUCAUCCCUGGCCCGCUUCCCUCCUCUACUUCUACCUCCCGCCCAGCUUGGUCACCCAGUUUAGGGUGACAGGGCUGGGCAUGGUGGACCAGCAGCAAUCCUCCAGAUUCCAGAACUGGGCCUCCUGCAAAAGGUGGGUGAGGGUGUAAGGUGCUUCCAGGUGAUAAGAGAGCUGCAGGUGUCGGGCCAUGGGAGCUGGGAUUCCCCAUCCAUCACCCAUCAGGGCCCCAAGCCCAGCCCACCAGGCUUAACUGGAAGCCCGAGGCUGCUCCAUUUGCAGUGUGGGUCUGCGUGCGAGAAAGCUGGUAACACUGGCUGAGACCGGUUCACUCUCACCCACAGGCCAGCUGGGCCCUCCCCAGUGGCUGGGCACCUGAGCAGGUGUGUGGGGGGGGGGGGGGGCUACAAGCUGUCACUUCUAAAUAUAGAGCCUGGCAGCCUGGGAGUCAGCCAGGUGCGGCUGCCACAUGGCCCCCCAAACUGGCUGAUACGCCUGUGCCCGCCAGUUCUGGGCCUGCAGAGACACACAUCAAAACUGCCUCGCACAGACCCCCAGGGACCCACGAAUACCCCCAAAGACACACACUCAGCUUGGCACGUACACGUCCCUGUCCUUGUUGAGGCCCCUUAUCCACACACACCCUCUCCCCACACUCAUGCUCUGCAACGCGCACUGACACCGACCGGGCAGCCCCUGCUUGAACAACAGCCUCCUGAGGGUGGCAUCCCCCGUUCUUGUCCACUGCUGUCUCCUCUGCCUGUAACCGUGUCCAGCACACACCAGGUGCCCAGAAACGUUUGCUCUCUGAAUGAAUGCACACACACACUCACACACACACACAUUCUGUAAUAAUUACCCCCACUCUCACCCGAUCCCUGCCCCCCUGUGCUGGGUCUACUAGGCCCUACCAAGGACAAGACCAGAAGGCCUGUCCUCCUCUGGCCUGGCCAAUCCCCCAUAGCCAGAGUCCAAGCCAGGCUGAGGACCUGAGCGGGAGGGUGGAGAGGGCAGCCCAGGGAAAGAAGUAGCUUCGAACCCCUGUUUAGGAGGAUGUGGGAAUCAUUGUUUGCUACAGGACAAACCUCCCUGGAGGAGCCACCGCACCACGCUGGAGUUCUGGGUUGGGCCACAUCCCCAGAAAGCCACCAGGGGAGGGGAACACGUGACCCCUAUAAGGCCCUCCCCAGCCCCCUCCUCUAAAGGAGUGCCCCAUUUUAGGUGAUACCACCCCAUCUAGGAGCCCUCAGCUCUGCCCCCAUAGUGCUUGGGCUGGGCUUCCCACAGCCUGCACAUGGAUGUAACAGAGUGACACUUCAGGGGGAGUUCCCGUUGUAGCUCCGUAGGUUAAGAACCUGAUUAGUAUCCAUGAGGGUACAGGUUCAAUCCCCAGCCUCGCUCAGUUCACAGAUGUGGCUUGGAUCCGGUGUUACUCUGGCUGUGGCUGGCAGGUGCAGCUCCGAUUCAACCCCUAGGCUGGAAACUUCCAUAUGCUAAGGUGUGCCCUAAAAAGAAAAAAAAAAAAAAGGAAAAAAAUAAAAAAGAGUGAUGCCUGGGGACACAGGAGCAGAGGGGGGUGGCAUCUGAGCAUCUCUGACUCCAGGACUGCUGAGGGAGCACCGUGACUGUGCUGGGACCUCACAAUUCCCAUGAGAUGAAGCGGAGGCUGAUUGGGCAGGCUGAGCACCAGGGAUGAGGAGGGGAUGCUGUGACCCCAGAGCGACUGAAGGUCGGGUGAGAUUUAUAGUCAGAGCCUGCAUCAGUAGACUGGAGAAGAAGGUGACUGAGGGGGGCAAGCUGAUAAAGGAGAGGACUAGGGACAGCACUAAGGACAGAUGAGUGGCCAAUGGAUGGACAUAUGCAUAGACUAGCAGAUGGACUGAAAGACACAGGAGCAUGAAUAGACAAAUGGAAAGACAGAAGUGGGUGGCUGGCCACUGGGGUCACUCUCUGAAGCCCCACAAGAGCCUGAAGACCCAGCUACUUCCCCUGCAGACCACUCCCACCCCAGCUCCAUUCCCUGUCUCCUUUCCCAGACCAGGUUCCCAGGGAGGCAGACACCUGCUUGGCCUGAUGCCCAGAGAUGCACUUUCCAGCCAAGUACAAGCCCAGAUAUGGAGUCACCUCCUGGUGUUCUUACCUGUGCAGGUGUGCAUAGGAUGGGGUGGGGUCAGCGCCAUAUCUAUGGGCUAAUACCUCCAAAAAUAGCCUCCCAGCAACUGGGGAGUACCCCAAUCAUGGCUCACGUGCGCACACACACACACACACACACACACAGCCGCUGGCAGAAUCAACCCCAUAGACACUUGAUGCACACACAGGUGCAUUCACUGACACACUGGCACCCAAACACCAGUCCCCCAAACACCACAACUACCAAACUGCAUAGCAACAGAAUGAGCCAACCACAUGGUCUACAAUGUAUGGGGCCACCUGGCCCCUCAGAUACACCCCAACACCAUGCUGUCAUUAAUCUACAAAUGUGCAUUGAACAGCUUCUGGACCCAACCCUAUGGGAUUUCGGAGCACCUUCAAUAGCUCUUCCCAGAGAAAGCUGGACCCACAGGGUCCUUCAUGCUUCACCCUCCAACCCUGCCUCCUACCCUAGCACCUCACAUUUGCCCUCCAUCCAGCAACAUCUGACACCUUAGGGGGGUUCUCUCCUUUUCAUAUGCUUGGAUCCACAUUAUUCCUGCAACUAGGAACCCUUUCCCCAUUUCACUCCUGAACCCCACAUACCAGACCUAUCAUUCAAGACAGAUCUCUGCAUACCUAAAGUUUAACAGUGGGACACACAACAGGGCCUAAAUGUUUGUUGACUGACUGACCAACUUACCAGCUGGGUGAAAUCAUUAGGAAUAUAAAUCAGCUAAGAAUAGUGCAUAAUUAAAGUUCCCAUCAUGGCUCGGUGGUUAACAAACCCGACUAGUAGCCAUGAAGACGCGGGUUCAAUCCCUGGCCUUGCUCAGUGGGUUAAGGAUCCUACGUUGCUGUGAGCUGUGGUGUAGCUCACAGACAUGGCUCGGAUCCCUAGUAGUUGUGGCUGUGGUGCAGGCCGGCAGCUGUAGCUCCAAUUCGACCCCUUAGCCUGGGAACUUCCAUAUGCUGCAGGUAUGGUGCUAAAAAGACCAAAAAAAAAAAAAAAAAAAAAAAUAGUGCCUAAUAGGCUGGUGCGGACUAGCUGCUGUGGAAUUCUAAUCAGAGCAGGGGAGCAACUCUGGGCUGGGGGCUUUGAACCCCACAAGCACACAUUUGUCUCAGCCAUCCCCAUAGAGGGAGGGAGCCCUGCACCCUUGAGCUUCCACUUGCCAUAGAAAAGAUGCACAACUGACCAGUCAGCCAGGCCCAGCCCUCCAACAAGGGCAAGGGAGAUUAUCAGGCCACAGAAGGAGACCUCAAGCUAAAGCCAGGAUCUCCUAACCCCCUGUUCCCUCCACCUACCAACACCUUGGGAAACCCAGGCACUUUUCUAGGGUUUUAUUUAGGGCUGGACAUUCCCAGGGCAGACCCUCUGCCAACUCAGCAGGUCUGGGGACUUGGGAUGUGCUAACGCUGGCAGCCCUUCCACGCCCCAUUUGGGCUCCGUUGGCCAGAUCUCACCCUGGCCUGGGCCUGGGCUGGCACUGAUUGAUUGACUGACAUGGAGUUUCAUUCCUUUAGCAAGGGCCAGUCACACCCGGACAGGGUUCACCGAGUCAGGCUCUUUUCUCAGCACUUUAUUUGUAAUCCCCGCAGGGACCCUACAAGGUAGAUACUAUUCUGAUGCCCACUUCACAGGGGUGGAAACCAAGGCACAGAGAUAGAGGAACCAAUAUACUAAAAUCACAGCAGCCAGGAGUGGCUUGAGGAAUCCGGAUUCAAACCCAGACUGGUUCCACACUUUUAACCACUAUACCAUACUAUGUCUCUUUUUAUAGUUUGUUUUUUUUUUUUUAAAGUAAACAUGAGAUUACUUGGUCCUGGUUGCCUUUGGCACCAGAGGCAUGGACAUGUGACAUUACAGGUCAUUCCCAGCCCUGCCUCUCUCUCUCUCUGGCACACACACGCACACACACACACACACACACACACAGUCUGCCUCAUCCUGGUGCUGCCAGGCACAUUGGUGACCUCCUGGUUCCUCCACAGCCAGGCAUCAGGCCUGUGGGAACACAGUGCUCUCGUAUUUGGAUCCAAGUCUAUUCUGGAACAUACCACCCUAUGCCUCUCCCCUCGGCUGCCACCCUAGUUCCGCCCCUGGGGCCAGCAUUCCUGGAAAGCUCCAAGACAGCUUCUUUCAGGGGAGAUUUUCCACGGGGCCUGUGCAGCCAGAAUUGGCAUAAGCUGAGGAGGGUCCUACCCACAGUCCCUGUCUUGGGGCCAGGAAGCUUGGAGCAUCCCUGGGGUAUCGGGGCCGUUCCUCUUCUCCAUGGCAGAGGCCUUGGCAGAUGGGACACUCGCAGCUCCUUCCCCAUCCUGGUGUGUCCUCUUGGCCUCAGAGGAGUUCGGGUCUCCAGCACUCUUGUCUCAGCUCUGCUCAGUCCCACCCCAUGACCAGGGAGUGUGUUCCUGCGGGGCCCAGCCCUGUGCUGGGUGCUGUGGACCUGCCCCUGGAGGCUCGCCGCUCUGCACGGACAGACGAGCAGCCUGCCCGUGAGCUGCCAGCAACACAGCGCUGCAGCAAAUCCCCAAAGACCUUCCUGGACCUGGGCUCAGGCACCAGGACCUCGUCCUCCUGCUCAGGGACCCCAAGAGCUCGUCCUAUCCUGCGUGGUGACCCCUGGCCCCAGCCCUGGCUGUUGUUUCGGUG